RNAcentral lists this ribosomal RNA (775 nucleotides) under uncultured Neocallimastigales. RNAcentral describes it as "partial large subunit ribosomal RNA". It matches the Rfam family "Eukaryotic large subunit ribosomal RNA", at positions 24 to 633 of the family's 3401-position model. The record is from RNAcentral. Lineage: Eukaryota; Fungi; Neocallimastigomycota; Neocallimastigomycetes; Neocallimastigales.
UAUGUGAUCGUCUCUCGCAUAUCAAUAAGCGGAGGAAAAGAAACUAACAAGGAUUCCCCUAGUAACGGCGAGUGAAGCGGGAAGAGCUCAAAUUUGAAAUCUUAAAGGGUUUCCCUUUACGAAUUGUAGUUUAAAGAAGUGUUUUCUGUUGAGGUUUUGGUAAAAGUUCUUUGGAAUAGGACAUCAUAGAGGGUGAGAAUCCCGUAUUUGACCUUUACUUUCAACUUUGUGAUACACUUUCAAAGAGUCGGAUUGUUUGGGAAUGCAGUCCAAAAUGGGUGGUAAAUUUCAUCUAAAGCUAAAUAUUGGCGAGAGACCGAUAGCGAACAAGUACCGUGAGGGAAAGAUGAAAAGAACUUUGAAAAGAGAGUUAAACAGUACGUGAAAUUGUCAAAAGGGAAGCGUUUGACACCAGUGUUGUUUUUCUGAAAAUCAAUUAAAGAACUGUUUAUGCUAAGUUGUUUAGACUUUAUCAGCUAACUGUUUAGUUUUGAGCUUUUCUUUAAUGCACUUUUCAGUUAACAAGUCGACAUCAAUUUCUUUUGCUGUAAAAAAGCUUGAGGAAGGUGGCUUGAGAUUCGUCUUAAGUGUUUAUAGCCUCUUGCCUAUGCAGUCGGAGAGAUUGAGGUCUGCAGCGUAGAUCCUUCGGGGCUAAAUGCAUUUGUGCUAAGUUAUAGCAUUUUAUAGACGAACUUGUUGACUAUGAUUUGUCUUGUAGCUUACUCGCUUAUGUUAUUUUACCUACGCUUAGGAUGUUGAAGACUCUACAGAGAUA